ACACAUGCAAGUCGAACGGAAUCCAUGGUGUAGCAAUACACCGGAAGAUUUAGUGGCGAACGGGUGAGGAUCACGUGAGAAACCUGCCCCAGACUUUGGGAUAACAAUUGGAAACGAUUGCUAAUACCGAAUGACGUCGGAGAACCGCAUGGUUCACUGACGAAAGGAAAUCCGGUUUGGGAGGGUCUCGCGGCCUAUCAGCUUGUUGGUGGGGUAAUGGCCUACCAAGGCAACGACGGGUAGCUGGUCUGAGAGGAUGAUCAGCCACACUGGGACUGAGACACGGCCCAGACUCCUACGGGAGGCAGCAGUGGGGAAUCUUGCGCAAUGGGCGAAAGCCUGACGCAGCAACGCCGCGUGCGGGAUGAAGGCCUUCGGGCUGUAAACCGCUUUCAGCAGGAACGAAAAUGACGGUACCUGCAGAAGAAGGAGCGGCCAACUACGUGCCAGCAGCCGCGGUGACACGUAGGCUCCAAGCGUUGUCCGGAUUUAUUGGGCGUAAAGAGCUCGUAGGCGGUUUAGUAAGUCGGGUGUUAAAACUCUGGGCUCAACCCGGAGAGGCCAUCCGAUACUGCUGUGACUUGAGUUCAGGAGGGGAGCGGGGAAUUCCUAGUGUAGCGGUGAAAUGCGCAGAUAUUAGGAGGAACACCGGUGGCGAAGGCGCCGCUCUGGACUGAAACUGACGCUGAGGAGCGAAAGCAUGGGUAGCAAACAGGAUUAGAUACCC
RNAcentral lists this ribosomal RNA (727 nucleotides) under uncultured Actinomycetes bacterium. Its description in RNAcentral is "bacterial SSU rRNA". It matches the Rfam family "Bacterial small subunit ribosomal RNA", at positions 51 to 787 of the family's 1533-position model. The record is from RNAcentral. Lineage: Bacteria; Bacillati; Actinomycetota; Actinomycetes.